Molecule: ribosomal RNA, 1183 nt
Filed under: Hafnia paralvei
Lineage: Bacteria; Pseudomonadati; Pseudomonadota; Gammaproteobacteria; Enterobacterales; Hafniaceae
Description: bacterial LSU rRNA
Rfam family: Bacterial large subunit ribosomal RNA
Source: RNAcentral
UUUAUGGGGUGACUGCGUACCUUUUGUAUAAUGGGUCAGCGACUUAUAUUUUGUAGCAAGGUUAACCGAAUAGGGGAGCCGUAGGGAAACCGAGUCUUAACUGGGCGUCAAGUUGCAAGGUAUAGACCCGAAACCCGGUGAUCUAGCCAUGGGCAGGUUGAAGGUUGGGUAACACUAACUGGAGGACCGAACCGACUAAUGUUGAAAAAUUAGCGGAUGACUUGUGGCUGGGGGUGAAAGGCCAAUCAAACCGGGAGAUAGCUGGUUCUCCCCGAAAGCUAUUUAGGUAGCGCCUCGUGAACUCAUCUUCGGGGGUAGAGCACUGUUUCGACUAGGGGGUCAUCCCGACUUACCAACUCGAUGCAAACUACGAAUACCGAAGAAUGUUAUCACGGGAGACACACGGCGGGUGCUAACGUCCGUCGUGAAGAGGGAAACAACCCAGACCGCCAGCUAAGGUCCCAAAGUCAUAGUUAAGUGGGAAACGAUGUGGGAAGGCAUAGACAGCCAGGAUGUUGGCUUAGAAGCAGCCAUCAUUUAAAGAAAGCGUAAUAGCUCACUGGUCGAGUCGGCCUGCGCGGAAGAUGUAACGGGGCUAAACUAUGCACCGAAGCUGCGGCAGCGACACUUAGGUGUUGUUGGGUAGGGGAGCGUUCUGUAAGCCUGUGAAGGUGACCUGUGAGGGUUGCUGGAGGUAUCAGAAGUGCGAAUGCUGACAUAAGUAACGAUAAAGCGGGUGAAAAACCCGCUCGCCGGAAGACCAAGGGUUCCUGUCCAACGUUAAUCGGGGCAGGGUGAGUCGACCCCUAAGGCGAGGCCGAAAGGCGUAGUCGAUGGGAAACAGGUUAAUAUUCCUGUACUCGGUGUUACUGCGAAGGGGGGACGGAGAAGGCUAGGCUAUCCGGGCGACGGUUGUCCCGGUUUAAGCGUGUAGGGGGUGUGACUUGGUAAAUCCGGUCGCAUACUAACCCUGAGGCGUGAUGACGAGUCACUACGGUGAUGAAGUAGUUGAUGCCAAGCUUCCAGGAAAAGCCUCUAAGCUCUAGGUAACAUUGAAUCGUACCCCAAACCGACACAGGUGGUCAGGUAGAGAAUACCAAGGCGCUUGAGAGAACUCGGGUGAAGGAACUAGGCAAAAUGGUGCCGUAACUUCGGGAGAAGGCACGCUGGCGCGUAGGUGAAG